UCUGGUGAUGAUGGCGAAGAGGUCACACCCGUUCCCAUGCCGAACACGGAAGUUAAGCUCUUCAGCGCCGCCGAUGGUAGUCGGGGGUUUCCCCCUGUGAGAGUAGGACAUCGCCAGGC
RNAcentral lists this ribosomal RNA (119 nucleotides) under Bacillus sp. CMAA 1185. The record is from RNAcentral. Lineage: Bacteria; Bacillati; Bacillota; Bacilli; Caryophanales; Bacillaceae.